AUCGCUGAUUUGUGGCCUUGUUG
This 23-nucleotide small nuclear RNA is filed under the name Arabidopsis thaliana (thale cress). RNAcentral's name for it is "snRNA_02404". Lineage: Eukaryota; Viridiplantae; Streptophyta; Magnoliopsida; Brassicales; Brassicaceae. The record is from RNAcentral.